RNAcentral lists this ribosomal RNA (407 nucleotides) under uncultured cyanobacterium. RNAcentral describes it as "bacterial SSU rRNA". It matches the Rfam family "Bacterial small subunit ribosomal RNA", at positions 355 to 776 of the family's 1533-position model. The record is from RNAcentral. Lineage: Bacteria; Bacillati; Cyanobacteriota.
UGGGGAAUUUUCCGCAAUGGGCGCAAGCCUGACGGAGCAAUGCCGCGUGAGGGAGGAAGGCCUUUGGGUUGUAAACCUCUUUUCUCAGGGAAGAAGACAAUGACGGUACCUGAGGAAUCAGCCUCGGCUAACUCCGUGCCAGCAGCCGCGGUAAUACGGAGGAGGCAAGCGUUAUCCGGAAUUAUUGGGCGUAAAGAGUCCGUAGGUGGCUCGUCAAGUCUGCGGUCAAAGACAGAAGCUUAACUUCUGAGAGGCCGUGGAAACUGGGGAGCUAGAGGCCAGUAGGGGUAGAGGGAAUUCCCCGUGUAGCGGUGAAAUGCGUAGAGAUGGGGAAGAACACCAGUGGCGAAAGCGCUCUACUGGACUGGCACUGACACUGAGGGACGAAAGCUAGGGGAGCGAAAGGG